Molecule: long non-coding RNA, 3505 nt
Filed under: Homo sapiens (human)
Lineage: Eukaryota; Metazoa; Chordata; Mammalia; Primates; Hominidae
Description: HSALNT0060282
Source: RNAcentral
CGUGGCAGUUCCUCAGUAGCCGAGGCCACCCCUCCCUCCUUCCUUGACACCCACAGUCUGGCCCUCUGGUCCAUCCUCCCUCCAAGAUGGCCCAGGACUCCCCACAGGGGACACAGGCUCCAGGAGUGGGGCUGAGCAGAACAGCCUCAGGCUGAUGGUCUUUGUGGACCAUGCACCCUAUCAGGAAAAAAACAGGGACACACCUCCAUAAUCAUUUCUUUAUAAAUGACAUACAUUGCAACACCAUUUGCAUUUUAUGUCUUAAUAAAGCUGCAUUAAUUUCUUCUUUUAGAUGAACGUUUAAAUAGAAAGUCUCCUGUUUUCUUGCUUUUCAUGGCCUAUUGUUUCUAUUUUCUUGUCUUUCACACUCUGUGGUGACUGCAGGGUCCGUCUGGUGGGGGUGGGGCCGUGGCUGGACUCUCCUUCCCGCCCCCAGGUUGUUUUCCAAACUUUCAGUAUCGUGAGUAGAAGGAGGGGCCCUGCCUGGGGAGGGCCGUGUGAAUCACCCCAUGGAAAUACUGGCGCCCUGGGCUGGGGGCAGGGUGGGCCUGGUUUCCAGGAAGGGCUUGGGCAGGAAGCCAGGCAGGAAGAGGCUGGGGAGUUUCUGGAAAGGCAGCGCGGAGGGGCCUGGGGAGGCCAGUGGACCUCUCGGGGCAGGGCACUGGCCUCCCCUCUCACAGAUGGGGAAUCCUUGGCACUUCCUGGCACAUGCCAGGGCAUGGGGGUGGGGGCAGAAGGCCAGGGAAGGAGGUGGCGGCCGAUCCUCAGCAGGCCUCUAGGGUGGGUGGCCGUGGACAAAGAGGGGAGGGUGGGAUGGACUUGGAGGAGGUGCCCUAGGGGCUCCUUUGAGCCUGGCCCCAGCACCUACAGCCUGUGCUUGGGGCUGAGGGUCCCAUUGUAUGACCUGUAGUUUCAGCCAGAAGGAUACUUGGAAUAAGAGGGGACAAAGGAGGCGGCAGUUUAAAGCGGUCGCUGAGCAGAGAAUCCCGCUGAUGGAUGGGGACGGUGCUGCUCCAUAGGGGGCCCUCUCUCAGACUUCUGUAGCCCCCAUGGCAUUUAGCCAAGAGAGGCUCCCUCCCCACACAAGUGAACUUACAGGACAGAAAUCCAGAAUGCAAGUGGGAUAAGCAGUGUAGAAGUGUUUCUCUCUCAAGGCGGAGUGGUUGAUUCACUCAUUCAUCCACUCGUCUGUGCACGCAUUUGCUCCAAAAACACUGCUAAGCUCCAGGCUGCCCACUCCUCAUUCAUGAAGGUCCUGCCACCUUCAGAUCCUGUGCCCCAUCCCACAGUGACUGGCCUAGGGUAGAAAUGCCAUCCCAGCUGGCCCAACUUGGGCAAAUAUCAGGACUCUGGCAGGCAAUACCUGGACAAAGAUUUACACCUGGGAGAACGAGGGCCCUAAAGCAGCUGGAGGCCACUUGUCAACCUACAGGAAGAACUGUACUGAGAGUGGAUCCAAUGGAGAAGGGAGCAGACCCAACAGGUGGGGAGAGACUGGCUCCUUGGAUGCUGUUUGAGCGCCUGGAUUCACCUGCACCUGAAGCAAAGUGCUACACCCAGAAAACAAUGUCCACUGAAGCCAGUUUGAAGCUGGUGCUCUGUUGUCUACAACCCAAGAAUGCUAGCUGACAGGGAUGAGUUGAGGGUGCGUGGGCACAGAGCACCACCAGGACCGGGACCCAACUCGCUGACAUCAUCACGGUGGGAAACAGGAACUCCUCGACCUCAGGCCAAAAGAUCCAUCUGUUAGAGCCAUCGGGCCAGCCAAGGCUGCUCAGAGAGGCAGGUGGAGGCCAUGUCAUUUCUAACUGACCCGGGAAGAACCAUGUGGUGUGCAGGGUGGGGGUCCCUGCCCACCCAUACUGGGCAUCAUCCAUGCUUAGUGAUCACAUCCAGCUCAGCAACCACAAGCACAGAGGCCAGCGUGUCCCGCGUGGGACACAACGCAGGGUCCUUGCUGCUCUAGCCGCUGCUCAGGCCACUUAUGCUGGCGCCCUAAGAAGUCUCCCUCCUCACAUGUCCUCCCUGGAGUUUAAGCCGAGCUCUCCCCUCCAGUGGACAUCCUCCUUCCCAGCCUCAUGAAAGAUUCAAGACAGAUAGAUAGUUUUUGUUUUUUUUUUUUGAGACGGGGUUUCGCUCUUGUUGUCCAGGCUGGAGUGCAAUGGCGCAAUCUUGGUUCACUGCAACCUCCACCUCCCAGGUUCAAGUGAUUCUCCUGCCUCAGCCUCCCGAGUAGCUAAAGCUGAGAUUACAGGCAUGCGCCACCACACCCGGGUAAUUUUUUGUAUUUUUAGUAGAGACGGGGUUUCUCCAUGUUAGUCAGGCUGGUCUCCACCUCAGGUGAUCCGCCUACCUUGGCCUCCCAAAGUGCUGGGAUUACAGGCGUGAGCCACCACGCCCGACCUGAUGCAAAAUAUUUUUUAAAAGCUCUUCCUUAAAAAUCUGUGUAGGAUGGACUUACUGCAACCUAGCAGGCACCUAAAGAGACCAGGGAUAAAAGUCGACCCACGAGAGCCCCAGGAGAAAGGACAACUGCUGCCGAGGCAGAAAGCCUCCAGGACAGCCUGUGGGAGCUGUUGAAAGGCAAUGCAGGCAGCAAACACCACAGGACAGAGGGGAGGGCUGCCGCAGUAGUGUGGGCUUGAAGACCGUUCCCCUGUGGGUCCCUCCCAGCACAGGGGAACAGGAAGACAUGGUGUGGUCCCUUCUUCACAGAGCGAGCAGUCUGUGGAGAAGACGGGGCUCAUCGGGCAAUGCCUCCACUGGGGCCAGAAAAGGCUUCCCCUGGCUGGACCUGCAGGACGAGGGUCAGGGCUCAGCCAGGUGGCCAGCCCUCAGCGUCUGCUCCCACCUCCUUCUGUGUCCCAGACCCUAAGGCAGAGGCUGGGAAACUAACAAACUACAUUCCCCAGCCUCCUUCACAACUGAGUUCAAAUUAGGUUCCGCCAAUAAUGUGCACUUUUGUGAUGUGGAAGGCAAAUGGAAGAGAGACACCAUCUCCACGUGACUUUGGGGGAUUUUUCUGCUGCAGAGGUCUGGUGGCAGAUCCCCUGACAAGCCAGUUCCGCAGUGUUUUUCUGGGACCAUCUUCAGCCUCGACACAGUCCACCAGCCUCUCCACAGGUAUUGAAGCACCCAAGUCCCUGUAUUAAAUCUCCUCCCACUUAAAACACCUAGAGUGACUUCUGUUUCCUACAACCAAUACAUCAGGCAAAGAGGGCACCAAAUAAUGUUCCAGAUGAAGCCACUGGCAUGAGUGUAAUCACCUAGCCAAGGAUGGAGGAGGGCAGGGUAGAGGCAGGGGCGGGGGCCUAGUUCGGAGUUACUGCAUGAUGUGAUGAGAGCAGGAACUAAGGCAAGGACACUGGAUGGAGCAGCAGGAAGGAUGGGGGUGAGGAAUAAGCCAGACUCGGCCACUGCUUGCCUGAGGCCAUGAAGAAUGACCUUGAGGUCUCAACCCAGGCAGAUGGGACCAAGGAGAUUCCAUGUAUCUAAGGAGGUAAAU